UGGGUUUCUGAAAAUAAAUCUCGAGAACUUAGUAAUGCUAGGAAUAAAAUAAAUAGCAGCUUAGAACUUCAUGUAUAAUAUCAAUGAAUUACCUAGACUCAGCUUAAACAUAUGCCUCCACAAAGUUUAGGUUCAGAGUAAAUUUUUAUAUCAAAGUGUUCAUGUCUAAAACUCUGGAGAAUUUAUGGUUGAAAACUAGGCACUUGAAAGGAAUUAUUGUAGAGCAACUAUUCAUCAUCUCCAAGAUAAAAUUUUAAUGUUCUCUAAUUUUUAUUUGACUCUAAACUAGACUGAUUGUAGACACACUCUAUGAUCACACCUUAAUAUAUAGAUAAGUAUUUUGUUUUUGAUUUUAAAUUAUUAUUCAUCUUUUUAUUUCUAUUGGACUCACAAGACUUAAAAGACAUGGAUCUUCAUGUGCACAUAUAUUUUUGGUAUUUUUAUAUAUUCUUAUGAUACUAUUGUGAUCCUUCAUGUGCUCACAUAUUUUUGGUAUUUUAUGACUAUAUAAAAUAGACUCGAUAAUCGCCUAGGUAUAGUUACCUGAUAACUAGGGGAUGCUCCUCCCUCAAGCUAGAUGUUUGCAAUACUUGGUGUUGAUGAUCUUUAGAGUGAGCUAACCGGCAGCCCUCUAGGUGGGUGCCACUAAUAGACUCUCUCCUUGUCAUAAUGUUCUUCCUACAUAAUUACACUCCAAAAAGAAAACCAAAACUCGAGGCUUGAAUUUAAUAAUGGGUUAGCGGUCAGCCAGUAAGUGAUUGAUUGUUCUUUGAGUUGAUUUGAAUUGACAAAUUCAAGUAGGAUUCUUUUUUUAGGAUUUUCUAGUUUAAUUAUGUAGAAAUUAAAUAUGUGUGCAUGAUAUAUAUAGUUGUAUUUUUUAUGCCUCCAUAGAGAAUAUUUAUUCUUCUGGGGCAUAGGUUUUUUUUCAUACUGCAAGAAGGUAAAUACAUGAGCUAUUAUUAUUUAUGCCACCCCAGCAAAUAAUCCUAUAUGGUUAUCAUAAGUUUGUUCACGUGGGGCUUUAAGUAUUUUAUGAUGUAGUAAAUGAUGGAAUAAAGAUUUUUGUUUUUUAUUUUAUUUUUAAUAUUUACGAAGAUGAAUAUGUUAAGAUAAAUUUAUUAAUAUAGACAGAAAUACUAAUUAAAUACAUAACUAUCAUAUUACCUUAUGGUAAGAAUAUAAUUUUUUUAAAAUUUACCGAAGGACUUCUUCUUCCACUCUUGUGUAUCUCUCCAUCGUUAAUAGUAGCUGGCAGCAUCUUGCUCAGUGUGCAUGUUCAUAGAACUUUCACUUGUAGGAUUAAUAAACUUUGCUUGAUGUGUUGUCCUGUUUGCAAAACUAAGGUAGAGAUCAGGUGCAUGGGCUCUACUGGUGGAAAAACACCAACAAAACCAAAUCUAUUUCUUUAUUGAUUUUUCUCUAUACUUAGGCACAUUAAACAAGAUAAAGUUGUGUUACAUGAUUUAUUUAUUUAUAAGUUGUAAGAUCAAAAGAUUAAGCAGUUAAUGUUGCAUUUAAGUUCACAUGAUAGAAAAGAAUGAAAUUGCUUAACCAAUGGAAGGAUUGUCUAUCUCUAUAUAAAUUUCAAAUAAGUAUGACUAUCAUCUUCCCAAGAUUGAAUAUAAUGUUUUAACUUGUUUAGUUAAGACUGAGAUUAAGAGAAUGGUGUCAUGAACAAUUUUAAAGAGCAAAGCAUAUUGAGUUAAUCAAUUUAAGUUAUAACUCUAAUAUGUUUGGGUCUUCACUUAUGUGCACACCAAGAUCAAGAGAAGAGAGUGACCACUUACCUUCGAAUAUUACCUUCAUUAUUAGAGCGUGAUGGCACUAACCGAUGAAGGGUAAAUGACUGGUGAUCCUUCCUCUUGCAUCUUGAGUUGUUCAUAGACAUCUUGUCUCCUCUGUUGCAUUCAUUCUUUUGCCAUCUUUUGUUUCUUUAAUCUGUUGACUCUUUUCACUCCAGUCAUUAUUAUGCCUGCAACAGAUUAGUGGACAACACAUACCCGAAGAAGUAUACAAGUUUUUAACAUAGGUUGCUUGUCCAGUAUUUUUUUUACUCUAUCUAUGAUAAUAAAAAGAUAGUAUUAAUAUUGUUUUAGCAUAGAUCAUGUUUUAUACAGACAUGGCUCGAGGCAAAAUAACUUGUAGUAGAAGAUAAAGUGAAUGAAUCAUUAAUGUUCACAGUUCUUUUAUUUGUGAUGACUGAGUUGUCUUCUUCUACAAAGUUAUCAAAGUUCAUGAUGUGCUGCUCUGUUUUAUAUGUGAAUUGAAUUCAUCUCCUGACUUACCCAAAUUCAAUUUAAAAAUUUUCCUACAGGGGUUAGUCCACAAAAUAUCCAAUGUCUACUACAGUAUAUUAUUAGUUCAAAAAUCAACCUAGACACCACGUCUAAUUUGAUUUAGGAAGGCAUUUUAACCUAAGCACCACGCUUAAUUCAA
Molecule: long non-coding RNA, 2436 nt
Filed under: Sorghum bicolor (sorghum)
Lineage: Eukaryota; Viridiplantae; Streptophyta; Magnoliopsida; Poales; Poaceae
Description: long non-coding RNA (SBIC_LNC016319)
Source: RNAcentral